GUUUAGUCCAGGUCUUUGGCGACUCAGGCCAGUUGCUCAUUUUCCUUGCUGGCUCUGCAAGGCUUGGAUGGUGUGGGAUUGCGCGUUCCGUACGCGUGAGAUCCAAACGUAGGAACUGGAAUAAACAUGAAUACAAUGUGGCGGAUACAGGCUCGAAUCCAGAUAGCUGCAGAAGAAGGAUGAGGACAGUUGCGGGGUCUUGAAAAUAGAGCUGAAAUUUCGGCCAUGGGCACAGCAGACACUAGAAGGAAAUCACUGGAAGUCAAAGUGAUGGACUGAGUCUGACAUGUCUGGAACCACUUAAUUGGUGCACAUUGGAGUACUUUAAAAGAUGUGAAGACUCAGGUUUUUGCUGUCGCGGAUGGAAAUGAGUUCUCAAAAAAAAAGGAUAGGAUCUAAGACUUCAUAUUUGGAGAACUAAAGGAUUUGUAAUCAACCAUGCUGGUUCCUGCUGAAAGCUAGCUGGAUGGAUACCCAUGGAAUAAGAUUUUAACAUACAGUAACAAAUAAAUCUUCAUAAAACAUC
Echinops telfairi (small Madagascar hedgehog) is the source of this 526-nucleotide long non-coding RNA. RefSeq lists it as uncharacterized. The transcript is spliced from 11 exons. The record is from RefSeq and is a predicted model, not a curated record. Lineage: Eukaryota; Metazoa; Chordata; Mammalia; Afrosoricida; Tenrecidae.